RNAcentral lists this ribosomal RNA (384 nucleotides) under uncultured bacterium. Its description in RNAcentral is "bacterial SSU rRNA". It matches the Rfam family "Bacterial small subunit ribosomal RNA", at positions 30 to 414 of the family's 1533-position model. The record is from RNAcentral.
AUUGAACGCUGGCGGCAUGCCUUACACAUGCAAGUCGAACGGCAGCACGGGAGCAAUCCUGGUGGCGAGUGGCGAACGGGUGAGUAAUAUAUCGGAACGUGCCCAGUCGCGGGGAUAACGUAGCGAAAGCUACGCUAAUACCGCAUACGAUCUAUGGAUGAAAGCGGGGGAUCGCAAGACCUCGCGCGAUUGGAGCGGCCGAUAUCAGAUUAGGUAGUUGGUGAGGUAAAGGCUCACCAAGCCGACGAUCUGUAGCUGGUCUGAGAGGACGACCAGCCACACUGGGACUGAGACACGGCCCAGACUCCUACGGGAGGCAGCAGUGGGGAAUUUUUGGACAAUGGGGGCAACCCUGAUCCAGCAAUGCCGCGUGAGUGAAGAAGG